RNAcentral lists this small nuclear RNA (107 nucleotides) under Saimiri boliviensis boliviensis (Bolivian squirrel monkey). Lineage: Eukaryota; Metazoa; Chordata; Mammalia; Primates; Cebidae. The record is from RNAcentral.
GUGCUCCUUUCAGCAGCACAUAUGCUAAAAUUGGAACGAUACAGAGAAGAUUAGCAUGGCCCCUGUGCAAGGAUGCCACACAAAUUCAUGAAGUAUUUCAUAUUUUU